CAGUGCAAUCUACAACAAACUUUACUUUUAACGACCAUUUCUUAACGACAUGACAUAAAUCCGGUCAGUAUAAGUAUAUUUAGGGGUCCAAAAAUAUUUACGGUCGUUAAAGUCCAUUUCUAGUUCAGCAAUGGCGACAAUAUAAUAUCCCGUCGGUUAAGAUGACAAUAUCCUGUUGUUAGUACUAGCUAGUAUUUUGGCGGAAAAAAUAGAUCACUCCCAUUAUUCCCCAAAACUUCUCUAUUUUUUACAAAAUAAAAGGAAACCGCUUUAGUAAUUAGAAAGGGAAAAAAGGGAGCCAAAUCCUAUACUCCAUUUCUAGGGUUACAUGAAGCAAUUCUCUGCCUUCCUCUUCUACUCAAGCAUGAAAUCUGAGUCUCGACUUCUAAACAUUGGCUAGAUUCUCCGUUCAUUUUAUUGCAGACCCAGUUAUUGCAAUUUUCCUACAGGCUAUUGGAUAUCUUGAUUGUGCGGUUCGAGAAGUUCUUCCCAGUUGUCACUGAAUAGAGGAGAAAUCUACUUGUAGAUCAGGUUCAAGGAGUUCUGUGAGGAUUGCGUCUUCAAGCAUUAGGGCAGUGGACAUAUUCAUGCAUUGCGUCUCUUAGGUUCAUCCUUGCAACCGUCCUGCAUUUGACUUCAUAUUGCUUAGGUUCUCAUGCUAACUCUUGUUAUUCUUUAUGACUUUUAAUGAUUCUUGCUUUGUGAGUUUUAGUUUUCAAAUCAUGGUUAAGGAGAGGACAAACUUGAGAGAGCUUUUGAAGCUAAAAAGGCUGUAAUCCUAAGUGCUUACUUUCACUUUUUAUUAUCGAUUCUGUGAAGCAUUUAUUUUUAUGAGUAUUGAUAUAAGUAGAAAGAAAGAAGUCAGAUCCUAUUGACGAGGAGAGCAUUGAUGACACCGUAUAGUCAUAGUAGUUUUUGCAAUUUUGCGGCUUUAAUUUCAGUUUUCAAAAUUGAUUAUCUCAUUUUCACUUUGUUGUUAGAGACAUGUUUUGAUCGUCUUUAAUUUUUUUCAUAUUCACAGGUUAAUUUCUUGCGCGUAAAUAGGUUUGUAUGUUCGUACUCCGGACCACUACAUAGGCUAUUUACUUUAGUACUGAUUUAUGUAUUUAUUUCCUCUUUUUGGACCUUUUAAUUGAACUAGUUGGGACUUGCUAGUAUCUGUAUUAGUUUUCUCUGUUUUGGACAUGCUACUUGAAUUUCUUGUUGAAAUUUGCUGGUUUCUAUAUUGGUUUUCUCUGUUUUGGAUCGGCUACUUGAAUUUCUUGUUGAAUGUUACUGGUUUCUACAUUUACUUUCUUUCUUUACCUUUUACUUGAAUAUGUUGUUGAAAUUUAUUGGUUUUUGUACGUAUUUUCCCAUUUUUGUACCUUUUACAUAAAUUUAUUACUGAUAUUUGUUUAUUUGUGGUACACAACAUCUAAGCUUUUCCGAAAUUGCUGUUCUAUAAUUGUUUUCAAUUGAAGCAUCAUAAAAGGAGAAGAGAAAGAAAUACUGGAUAGGUGAAAUUAAGGAGGUUUUGGAGAAGUGUGUAGAUUCGCAGCUAUGGCAUGCCUUUGCUGGAGUAAUGGUGCAAAUCCCUCUAGUCAACUCCAAGGUCGACUAUUUUCCACAAGGGCAUGCUGAGCAUAUUCUUACAAUCGUGGAUGGUUUCUAAUCAUGAUUUUAAGGGGAGGAAGUAGAAUUGUGUCAUUUCUUUAAUGUCAAAUAUCAACCAAAUCAAAAUAGGAAAACAUGACAAAAGAUCUAUUAUAGAAAUAAGACAUACAUUUUUGUAAAUCUUUUGCAGGAAAGUCUAUUUCAAUCUUCAAACUUAAAAGUGCUGGAGCAUCAGGUUCCUUAUGAACAGAAUAGGUAUAUUUCAAGUUCGGCAUGCAUUUAGUUUAUAUAUGUUUAUUGUAGAAAGAUUGGAGGAAGGCCCUUAUUAUUUGCAUAAGCUGUUUGGAUGUUGGCAUUAUAGAUGAUAACAAGAUUUCUUUUCCUUUCUUUGGAUUUUCCCAAGUGAGGAAUAUUGUGAUAAAAAGUGUAGAGAACAUUAAAAAAUGUAUGUUCUAUAAAAGCUAGCAUUCAUCAUUGUUCUACCAAGAAAUGACUAGUCCUUGAAUUAACUUCUUGAGUUUACUAGGUAAGUCUGAUAUUCUGUUACUAUUCUCUUUAUGAUUUGCUUUGCAAUGCUCCUUUCGAUCUAAUAUGAUUAUACACUAAGUAAAAGAAUAUGCAUCUUUGUUAUUUUUUUCUUUUUCCUUUUUUAUUUGAUGUCCGUCUAGACUGAUAUCUUUAGAAGAUAACAUUACACGUUUUAUUUUGGUUUCUUAGCAACUCUGAGUUAAACCUCUUUAGAGAGGAUUCUAGGUUGACAAUUUUUUAGGUCCGAUGUCCCGUUAAGUUACACCUCACAGCAGGCUUCUCAUCAUUUAAGAUAAGAUUUGUAUUGUCUUUUUCAGAAGUAAUCUGGCCAAUGUAUCAUGCGUAAAACUGAAAAGGACUCGCUGACUUUCUUGCUUCAACUGCUAUUAUUUUAGCAAGAGCAACUCUACUACUUAGAGGAGUUCUUCUGUCUCUAUUUUCAAUUCUUAUAAGAUCUGUUGGAGAUCAAGAUAUUAUUGUUCAAGUAUGUUAUGGAUGCAUAUUACUUAUGUUGUUAUAUGCAGAUUUUACACUAUAUCAAAAUUUUCUGGUGUUUUUCAGUUCUAUUGCUAUAUAAUCAGGAUAUGCUCAAAUUAGUACCAUGAAAUUAUUUGUUUGGUGGUUAGUAUUGAAAUAGAUUAUUAGUUGAUCAUGAUUUGAAGUUGCCAAAAGGAAGGAAGCUCUUAAGUUCCAUACUGAAAAGGUAAGAUUCCUGGACUUGCUCCUACUGGACAUUAUUUUAACUAUUUGUGGUCAGUUAAUGUACAUGUCUAUGGGAAAUGAUUCGAUGGCAUGGAUGAAAAAUUCUUUUUUCCUAACCUAGUAAUAUUAUGAGUGGUGAUUAAUUCACUAUAGGCUAUGAUCUAUUAUUGGAUUUACUUUUGAUGUUGUUUCUAAUUGUUUGAAGAUUGAAAUGGCUGAAAGUAUGAUGAACCCACCCUCCCCCUCCCUCGCGCUCACGUCCUCAACGAUGGAACUCCUAAGGUUUAAGUGUUUGACCCUUUUGUUCAGAAAACUUCAAAUUUCUAAUGAUUUACUUUUAACUCAGCAUUGUAGAAUUUAUUUGAUUCAUCACAACAAUCGAUUAGCUGAAACUCCUGAAAUAGAAGUGAAAGUUUCAGUGGCUACAUUAUUGGUACCUUUUCUAGGCACUGUGACUUGCUAUUAGCAUACACUUAAUAAAUGACUUCUGAUUGUUACACCUCGAAAUUUUUUUCGUUCAUGCACAGUGAAUAGAUUGACAAAGGGUACGACGUAUGUGAUGUUUUGAUAAAUAAGAAAUAACAUUUGAUGAUUCUAAAUGAGAUUUCAAAGACAUUCGAAGUAAGAGAAGAAAGUUUGCCAAGAAAGACAAGGUAUACGUUAUGUAUUGAGAAGGAUUUGAGUAACGAAUUAAUUAUGACUUAAUGAUGUUUUGGAGAAGAGCUAUAACGUCCCUUAGAUUGUUAAUGAGGUGUUAAACAAGUGUCAAGAAGGUUUCAUAAGGAUUGGAGAUCAAACGAGUCGACGAGAACGAAAUCGGAAUAGCUAGGCAUUGUACAGCCCAACAUACUGGCCGUAUAAAUUAUACUGGCCGUAUGUUAGGCCAUAUAUUUAGCCCAGAUGGGCAACCUUCACUGGACCAAACAUACGGCUCGUAUAAAACAUACGAACCGUAUGUUGGUCCGUAUGUUUGUGUUGAGAUAGAUUUUGGGUAUUUAAUAAGGGGCCAAGUUCAUUUCAUUUCAUUUCCCCUUCACUCCCCUUUCUCUAUAAAACAUCUCUCUACAAUUCUCCCACAAGAAUUCAAGGGAUAUUUGUGAUCAACUACAUCAAACCAAGUGAAUCAAAUGUAAGAAACUCAUUAAAGUUCAUCCAAGACAAGGAAUCCAAGUGAAGGUGAAACUAGGGUUUUGCUCAAGUGAAGUGUUCGCACUCAAGGUUCAUUCUUACACCAUCUAAGGUAAGAUUUAUGGUAUUUCCAUGUUGUUUAAGGUAUUUAAAAGUUGAAACACUUGGAUUGUAGAAGAAUAUAGAAAAAUAGGUCAUGAAUGUGAGAAUAGUGUCAUUUUGAGUGACAGCUUGAAUUGAGUUAUGAUUCUUGAUGUGUUGUGAUAUGGUUAUGUUAUAAAUGAUAUUAAGGACAUGGGAUAAGCGUUAUAUGCAAGAAAACGUACUAGUAUACUAUGACCAUGAUUAUGGAUGAAUUGAAGUGGAAUUGUGAAACGAGGGUAAUGUAGAUGAAUGAAGGUUGUUGGUUAUGAUAUUGUGAACGUUGUUAUAAAUGUUUCGGAGUUGAUAUACAAUAUGGGGAAAGUUGUAUAAACAAAGGAAAUGCUGCCCAAUUUUCUCUAGCUUUAGUAAGCACGUUCAUGUAAUCGAUUAGCUAAUGUGAAUGCGAAUUCUCUUGAAGGUAGAAACGUGAGCAUUGAAGGAGAACAAUCAAGCGAUGGAAUUGUUAAACGAAAGAGGUAUGUAAGGCUAGUACUUUCUUUCUAAGGCAUGAAUCCUAUGAUAUGAUAUUCCCUCCUUCUUCAUGAUUUUCCUACGUAUCGAAAACUAUGAGUCUACGAUUAUAAAGAGCUUCAUAAAAGAUAAGAAAAAGAGAUAUGUUACAAGCAUGACGAUACCGAUGAUGAAUAUAAGUCUAGAAGUCCUAAAGUUCAUGAUACAAUAUUCCUACGAAGCUAAUGAUCCUUAUAUGAUUCCUAUGAUAUUAUUUCCCUACCUCUCCAUGACUUGCCUACAUUUUGGGAACUAUGAGUCAACAUUGAUAAAGAGCUUCUUAUGAGAUAAAGAUGAGAAAUAUGUCGUGAAUACAAAAAUAAUGAUGGUAAGUUUAAGCCUAGAGAUUCUAAAGCAAGAUAUGAUGUCUAUGAAGUUAAAGAUCAUACUUACAAUCCCUUGAUGUUGUUCAUGGUGUACACUCACCUUAAAAUGUUAGUUCCUUCAAGGUGAGAUAUGAUGAAUAUGAUUACUCCAUAAUGUAAUCGGGGGUUCUCGACGUUACGUCACCCCGACAUUGUUAUAGAUUGUCUAUAAGCUAUAAUGCAUGUCCUAUGACCAAUGUUCCGAAAAGUUAUGAGUCUAUGUUCAUAGGUGAUUCCAUAUGAGAUAAAGGUAAGAGAUAUGCCAUAGAUGCGAUGAUGGUAAUGAUGAGUCUAAGUUUAGAGAUUAUAAAGUCUACCAUGCGAUAUUUUUACGAAGUUCAUGUUACGAAUAUGAUAUGAUUUUCAUAGAUUGUCUUUAAAUUCAAAUACAUGCUCUAUGAAAAGUUAUGAUAAGUUUAUGAGAUAUAUGUGAUGAUAACGAUGACGAUGUUGAUAGUGAUGAUGAUAAUGAUGACGAUGAUCACAGUGAUGACACUAAAGAUAUUUAUGGGCUUUUAUGUAUAUAUGUGCCUAUGUAUGGCUAUUAUGAAACCUCGAGCUUAUAUCGCGGUAUAUAUAUAUAUAUAUAUUCAUGUAACGCGCGCGCACCUCUGCAGUUAGGUACGAAUACCACUGAGCCUUGGUAGGGCCGGGUACGGAUAACACUGAGCCUUGGUAGGGCCAGACACGCAUAGCACCAAGCUUUAUUAUAGCUGGGUACGUAAGACACCGAACCUAUGUAGUCGGGUACGAUACUACUAUGAUUAUAUAUAUGAUAUAUGUAUGAAAAGCCCGAAAGAUAUGUAUGUGAUAUUGUCGAGCCACUACGUGGCCGAAUACGGAUAACGUAUAGUGUGUAUGAGCAGAUACGGUGUUAUGAUACAUGUAUGAUACGAUGAUGUAUGCGCUAUGAUGAUACAUAUACUAUGAUUAUAUAUGAUAUAGGCAUGAAAGGUAUCCUCCCUUAAAAGUUAUGCAGGUUAUAUCUACAACUUAUGUCUUAUGACUUCUCUACUAUGUUCAUUUCAUUCAUGCCAUACAUACUCAGUACAAUAUUCAUACUGACGUCCAUUUUCUUUGGGCGCUGUGUUCAUGCCUACAGGUAGACAGGGAGGCGACCCAGAUCUAUAGAAGCCGAUAAGCAGACUUUUUGAGAGCACUCCAUUAUUUCGGAGAUCGAGAAUCUGAAGUCUGAAGAGCCUGGACUUGAAGAAACUGAUGAGCAAGUCGAAGAAACUGAAAAUGUUAAAGAACAAGUUGAAGCACAAGCGGAGCCUAUUCUCUGUUUUGUUAGGAUUGUUUUUAGAUGUUUUUCUUUCCUGUACAUGUUACGAAUUUAUUUCCUCUUUUCAUAGGAGAAAAAUUAAAUGUCAUACUAUUUAGAUGUGUAUGUUUUUCAAUGUGAUGAUUAGUUCCUUGUAAUUAUCUACGAAAUUUUAAUGAAGUAAUGAUAGUUUUGUAUG
Molecule: long non-coding RNA, 6436 nt
Organism: Lycium barbarum (goji berry)
Lineage: Eukaryota; Viridiplantae; Streptophyta; Magnoliopsida; Solanales; Solanaceae
Exons: 5
Source: RefSeq, a predicted model, not a curated record